Long non-coding RNA from Drosophila simulans, 990 nucleotides. RefSeq lists it as uncharacterized. The transcript is spliced from 2 exons. NCBI's taxonomy places the organism in Eukaryota, Metazoa, Arthropoda, Insecta, Diptera, Drosophilidae. The record is from RefSeq and is a predicted model, not a curated record.
CUGCAUUCGGACAGCAGUUUCUUAUACUUUUCGGUCUGGUUAAGCUGCCAAAGGUGGGCAUCCAUCGCCAUUUGGCCACCCAAAGGUUUCGUGAGGACCAACACAUCGCCGGGCUGCGCGUUCGACGGUCUAAAUGGGCAUGACAGAUGUGGCUAUGCCACCAAUAAUGCACCAGGGAUUGAUCUUCAAUUGCCGAAUAAUCAGCGGGGUAUUACGAUAGCCAUUUGCCUUCAGGGAGUUUUGGAAACCCUUCAUCACCAAUCCAAUCACUACGUCGCGUUCUUUUUCGCUGAAGCUCGUGGAAGUGCUGACGAUCAUCUCCACGGUAUCAAACUGCGUCACCCCAACCGCAUAGACAUCACUCAAGACAUUAGCUAGCGCAAUACGGCCCAGUAAUUCGGGAUCAUUGACCAUGGGAUAGAAGAAGUCAACGGUUUGAAUAAGCAAAUAGUCCUUGUGCCGCUUGAGUGGUAUGACUGCACAGUCCAUUCCAGAGCCUGAAAAUAUGAUUUCCCAUUAGGAUAAUCCCCAGAUCUGCUGAUAGUACUAUCUCUCACCGAUAAGGUAUCCAUCAUUGUUCUUAUUUUCUAUUUCUGUUCCCCUUAGGUACUUCUCCAGUACUUUUUGGGGGAUUUUGCAACUUCACCCGGUGUGGGUGGUAAACUUAGUAAGCUGAAAGUCGGGCGAAAGCCCAUGUUUUUCUGGUUGAAACAUUGUGCGCGAAUUUCUACGCACCGGUUUUAUAAACAGCUGAGAAUAUAAAAUAUCGUUUUCUAAGCUAGUGGCGGCACUUUAAUACCUAUCGAUAUUCCUGGUAUUCCAGAUGGGAGAUUCCAUAUCAGUUUUUAAGGCAAAGAUCAGCUGAUAUCAGCUGACUUUGCUUAAAUAAGAAAGCUUCUAUAUUAAAUAAAUUAUAUAUAUAAAAGUGGAAUAUUUUUGUAUCAGUUUUUCCAAAACAUCGAAAUAAAUAGUUGACGUUUUUAAAAGCUA